UUAAGUGAAUAAGGGCGCACGGUGGAUGCCUUGGCACUAGGAGCCGAUGAAGGACGGGACUAACACCGAUAUGCUUUGGGGAGCUGUAAGUAAGCUAUGAUCCAGAGAUUUCCGAAUGGGGGAACCCAAUAUCUUUUAUAGGAUAUUACUUUUCAGUGAAUACAUAGCUGAUUAGAGGUAGACGCAGAGAACUGAAACAUCUUAGUAUCUGCAGGAAGAGAAAGAAAAUUCGAUUCCCUGAGUAGCGGCGAGCGAAACGGGAAGAGCCCAAACCAACAAGCUUGCUUGUUGGGGUUGUAGGACUCCAAUAUGGUAGUCUGUUAGUAUAGUUGAAGGAUUUGGAAAAUUCCGCUAAAGAGGGUGAAAGCCCCGUAGACGAAAUGCUAACAACACCUAGGAGGAUCCUGAGUACGGCGGAACACGAGAAAUUCCGUCGGAAUCCGCGGGGACCAUCCCGCAAGGCUAAAUACUCCCUAGUGACCGAUAGUGAACCAGUACCGUGAGGGAAAGGUGAAAAGCACCCCGGAAGGGGAGUGAAAUAGAUCCUGAAACCGUGUGCCUACAACAAGUCAAAGCUCGUUAAUGAGUGAUGGCGUGCCUUUUGUAGAAUGAACCGGCGAGUUACGAUUGCAUGCGAGGUUAAGUCGAAGAGACGGAGCCGCAGCGAAAGCGAGUCUGAAUAGGGCGAAUGAGUAUGUAGUCGUAGACCCGAAACCAUGUGAUCUACCCAUGUCCAGGUUGAAGGUGCGGUAAAACGCACUGGAGGACCGAACCCACGUACGUUGAAAAGUGCGGGGAUGAGGUGUGGGUAGCGGAGAAAUUCCAAACGAACUUGGAGAUAGCUGGUUCUCUCCGAAAUAGCUUUAGGGCUAGCCUCGGAAUUGAGAAUGAUGGAGGUAGAGCACUGUUUGGACUAGGGGCCCAUCUCGGGUUACCGAAUUCAGAUAAACUCCGAAUGCCAUUCAUUUAUAUCCGGGAGUCAGACUGCGAGUGAUAAGAUCCGUAGUCGAAAGGGAAACAGCCCAGACCACCAGCUAAGGUCCCAAAAUAUAUGUUAAGUGGAAAAGGAUGUGGGGUUGCACAGACAACUAGGAUGUUGGCUUAGAAGCAGCCACCAUUUAAAGAGUGCGUAAUAGCUCACUAGUCGAGUGACCCUGCGCCGAAAAUGUACCGGGGCUAAACAUAUUACCGAAGCUGUGGACUACACCAUUAGGUGUAGUGGUAGGAGAGCGUUCUAAGGGCGUUGAAGGUCGAUCGUGAGGACGGCUGGAGCGCUUAGAAGUGAGAAUGCCGGUAUGAGUAGCGAAAGACAGGUGAGAAUCCUGUCCACCGUAUGACUAAGGUUUCCUGGGGAAGGCUCGUCCGCCCAGGGUUAGUCGGGACCUAAGCCGAGGCCGAUAGGCGUAGGCGAUGGACAACAGGUUGAUAUUCCUGUACCAGUUGUUUUUGUUUGAGCAAUGGAGGGACGCAGUAGGCUAAGGAAUGCAUGCGAUUGGAAGUGCAUGUCCAAGCAAUGAGUCUUGAGUAGAGUUAAAUGCUUUACUCUCUAAGGACAAGUUGUGACGGGGAGCGAAAUAAUAGUAGCGAAGUUCCUGAUGUCACACUGCCAAGAAAAGCUUCUAGUGAGAAAACAACUGCCCGUACCGUAAACCGACACAGGUAGUCGAGGAGAGUAUCCUAAGGUGAGCGAGCGAACUCUCGUUAAGGAACUCGGCAAAAUGACCCCGUAACUUCGGGAGAAGGGGUGCUGACUUCGGUCAGCCGCAGUGAAUAGGCCCAAGCGACUGUUUAUCAAAAACACAGGUCUCUGCAAAAUCGUAAGAUGAAGUAUAGGGGCUGACGCCUGCCCGGUGCUGGAAGGUUAAGAGGAUGGGUUAGCUUCGGCGAAGCUCAGAAUUGAAGCCCCAGUAAACGGCGGCCGUAACUAUAACGGUCCUAAGGUAGCGAAAUUCCUUGUCGGGU
This 1962-nucleotide ribosomal RNA is filed under the name human gut metagenome. RNAcentral's name for it is "bacterial LSU rRNA". It matches the Rfam family "Bacterial large subunit ribosomal RNA", at positions 1 to 1977 of the family's 2925-position model. The record is from RNAcentral.